GGGUCAUGGCUCAGUGGUAGAGCAUUUGCUUGGCAUGAAGAAGGUCUCCGGUUCAAUCCUGGGAAUAUCCA
RNAcentral lists this transfer RNA (71 nucleotides) under Sphaerodactylus townsendi. RNAcentral describes it as "tRNA-Ala". The record is from RNAcentral. Lineage: Eukaryota; Metazoa; Chordata; Lepidosauria; Squamata; Sphaerodactylidae.